RNAcentral lists this ribosomal RNA (816 nucleotides) under Nocardioides jejuensis. RNAcentral's name for it is "Nocardioides sp. 18JY15-6 partial 23S ribosomal RNA". It matches the Rfam family "Bacterial large subunit ribosomal RNA", at positions 2111 to 2925 of the family's 2925-position model. Lineage: Bacteria; Bacillati; Actinomycetota; Actinomycetes; Propionibacteriales; Nocardioidaceae. The record is from RNAcentral.
UUGGUAUUGGUGUUUGGUUCGGCUUGUGUAGGAUAGGUGGGAGACUGUGAAGCAUUAACGCCAGUUAGUGUGGAGUCAACGUUGAAAUACCACUCUGGUCGUACUAGAUGUCUAACCUAGGUCCAUUAUCUGGAUCAGGGACAGUGCCUGAUGGGUAGUUUAACUGGGGCGGUUGCCUCCUAAAAUGUAACGGAGGCGCUCAAAGGUUCCCUCAGCCUGGUUGGCAAUCAGGUUUCGAGUGUAAGUGCACAAGGGAGCUUGACUGUGAGAGUGACAGCUCGAGCAGGGACGAAAGUCGGAACUAGUGAUCCGGCGCUGGCAUGUGGAAGCGGCGUCGCUCAACGGAUAAAAGGUACCCCGGGGAUAACAGGCUGAUCUUCCCCAAGAGUCCAUAUCGACGGGAUGGUUUGGCACCUCGAUGUCGGCUCGUCGCAUCCUGGGGCUGGAGUAGGUCCCAAGGGUUGGGCUGUUCGCCCAUUAAAGCGGCACGCGAGCUGGGUUUAGAACGUCGUGAGACAGUUCGGUCCCUAUCCGCCGCGCGCGCAGGAAACUUGAGAAAGGCUGUCCCUAGUACGAGAGGACCGGGAUGGACGAACCUCUGGUGUGCCAGUUGUUCCGCCAGGAGCACGGCUGGUUGGCUACGUUCGGAAGUGAUAACCGCUGAAUGCAUCUAAGCGGGAAGCACGUUUCAAGAUGAGGUUUCCCACCGGGUUAACCGGGUAAGGCCCCCAGUAGAUGACUGGGUUGAUAGGCCGGAGGUGUACAGCAGUAAUGCCCAGCCGACCGGUACUAAUAGGCCGAGGGCUUGUCCCUCAA